Molecule: ribosomal RNA, 301 nt
Filed under: uncultured bacterium
Lineage: Bacteria
Description: partial 16S ribosomal RNA
Rfam family: Bacterial small subunit ribosomal RNA
Source: RNAcentral
CAGCAGCCGCGGUAAUACGAGGGGGGCAAGCGUUGUUCGGAAUUAUUGGGCGUAAAGGGUGCGUAGGCGGUUUGACAAGUCAUCUGUGAAAUCUAUGGGCUCAACCCAUAGCCUGCAGGCGAAACUGUCGGGCUUGAGUAUUGGAGAGGUGAGUGGAAUUUCCGGUGUAGCGGUGAAAUGCGUAGAUAUCGGAAGGAACACCUGUGGCGAAAGCGGCUCACUGGACAAUAACUGACGCUGAUGCACGAAAGCUAGGGGAGCAAACAGGAUUAGAUACCCGGGUAGUCCCUGUCUCUUAUAC